This 442-nucleotide unclassified non-coding RNA is filed under the name rhizosphere metagenome. Its description in RNAcentral is "partial ribosomal RNA internal transcribed spacer region". The record is from RNAcentral.
GUAGGUGAACCUGCGGAAGGAUCAUUAUCACGUUUAAUCCACGUAAUAAACCCUUUCUGAACUUUAUUUGCCGUUUGCACGUUGAACCGGUUUGUAGGAUGUUGGAAGUUAGUGAAUAGCGAGUGUUUGUCCUACUUUUUUCUUGAGGCCCAUAGCGCUGAGAUUUGAAAUCAGUUCGUAGGGAAUCGGGAAAACAGUAGUAAACGGGGACAUAACCUUUGAUUGUAUGUUUGAGUAAACCCCUGACGGUAAACACUUUCGGUCCGACAUCAACUACAAGCUGCUGAGCAUGCAAAUCGUGGCGCGUCAUAACUACAAUGCAUAAACUAUUUUAACCCUUUUGAUAAAUUGAACUAAUCGUUCUCUACCCCGCUUCUAAACGUGGGAUUGAACAAAAUAUUAAAUUAUAGAACAACUCUUAGCAACGGAUGUCUUGGUUCUC